UACGUAGGGUGCGAGCGUUGUCCGGAAUUAUUGGGCGUAAAGGGCUCGUAGGCGGUUUGUCGCGUCGGGAGUGAAAACUCAGGGCUUAACCCUGAGCCUGCUUCCGAUACGGGCAGACUAGAGGUAUGCAGGGGAGAACGGAAUUCCUGGUGUAGCGGUGAAAUGCGCAGAUAUCAGGAGGAACACCGGUGGCGAAGGCGGGUCUCUGGGCCGAUACUGACGCUGAGGAGCGAAAGCGUGGGGAGCGAACAGG
This 253-nucleotide ribosomal RNA is filed under the name uncultured bacterium. RNAcentral describes it as "partial 16S ribosomal RNA". It matches the Rfam family "Bacterial small subunit ribosomal RNA", at positions 524 to 776 of the family's 1533-position model. The record is from RNAcentral.